RNAcentral lists this ribosomal RNA (275 nucleotides) under uncultured soil bacterium. RNAcentral's name for it is "partial 16S ribosomal RNA". It matches the Rfam family "Bacterial small subunit ribosomal RNA", at positions 26 to 285 of the family's 1533-position model. The record is from RNAcentral.
AGAAUCAACGCUGGCGGCGUGCCUAACACAUGCAAGUCGAACGCGAAGGAAGACUUCGGUUUUCUGGAGAGUGGCGCACGGGUGAGUAACACGUGGGUAAUCUGCCUUUGGGUGGGGAAUAACGAUCCGAAAGGGUCGCUAAUACCGCAUAACGCAGCGGCACCGCAUGGUGACAGUUGUUAAAGGGGGGGAUCGAAAGACCUCUCGCCUAAAGAGGAGCCCGCGCCCGAUUAGCUAGUUGGUGAGGUAACGGCUCACCAAGGCUUCGAUCGGUA